ACGACUUUCAGCAUGAAUGCCAUCGUGGCUUUGUGCCACUUCUGUGAGCUGCAUGGGCCUCGCACUUUGUUCUGCACUGAGGCGUUGCACUCCCCUCUCCCCCAGGGGGCAAGUUGCGGAGACAGCCUGGGGCAGGGGGAGCAGGCAGAGGAAGAGGAGCUGGGAAUCCAGAUGAGCAGCAGAAUCCAAUCCCACAGCCCAGCCGACGGGGCGAGUGCCGAUUCCAACAGCCCCCGACCCAAGAAAUCUGAUAUGUGUGAAGGGUGCCGAUCGCUGGCAGCUGGACACCCUGGCUAUAUCAGCCAUGACAAGGAGACAUCGAUCAAAUAUGUCAGCCAUCAGCACCCAAAUCACCCACAGCUGUUCAGCAUUGUACGCCAGGCCUGCGUGCGCAGCUUGAGCUGCGAGGUCUGUCCGGGCAGGGAGGGUCCCAUCUUUUUUGGAGACGAACAGCACGGUUUUGUGUUCAGCCACACGUUUUUCAUCAAGGACAGUCUGGCGCGCGGCUUCCAGCGGUGGUACAGCAUCAUCGUCAUCAUGAUGGACAGGAUUUAUCUCAUCAACUCCUGGCCGUUCCUGUUGGCCAAGAUUAGAGCCAUCAUAGAUGAGCUGCAGGGGAAGGCUUUAAAAGUGUUCGAAGCAGAGCAGUUUGGAUGCCCCCAGCGUCCCCUGAGGAUUAACACAGCGUUCACUCCUUUCCUGCACCAGCGCAACGGGAAUGCCGCCCGCUCUCUGAGCUCCCUCACCAACGAUGAUAACCUAUGGGCCUGCCUUCACACCUCCUUUGCAUGGCUACUCAAAGCAUGUGGAUGCCGCCUGACGGAGAAGCUGCUGGAAGGAGCUCCCACAGAAGACACGUUGGUGCAGAUGGAGAAGCAGGCCGACUUGGAGGAGGAAUGUGCGGCCUGGGAAGGCCAGGAGGAAGAAGAAGAAGAGAGACCCCGGCCACAGUCCAGUGUCUUGGAAGGACGGGAGAUUUCCAAGUGCUCCACAGAGACCUCCAACUUAUCGGAGUUAAGGAGGACAGUUGGGUUCCAAUCUCUCAGACACAUGAGGCAGGUGCUGGGUGCAGCUGCUUUCCGAGUGUUGGCCUGGCACGUUCUGAUGGGUAAUCAAGUCAUUUGGAAGGGCCAGGACAAGGAGCUGAUCCAGUCGGCAUUUGAUGUCUUGCAAGCCAUGCUGCCCGUGGGCUGUGUCCGCAUCAUUCCAUACAGCGAGGAAUACGAAGACGCGUAUCGCUGCAACUUCCUAGGGCUGAGUCCCCGUGCCGAAAUCCCCCCUCACGUGCAGUCGUCUGAAUUUGCCGUCAUGGUGGACAUUCGCAGUGCACCGCGCUCCAACCUUUACCCUGUCCUGUUCGGCGACGAUGAGCCUCUGAACCGAUAUGAAUUUGCCGUGGCAAGUGGAAGCCCGGUGUCUACGGACAGGGUGGGACUUACUAUCCUGAACAAGAUAGAGGCUGCUUUGCAUAACGAAAAUCUCUCGAUGGACGUGGUGGACCAGUGUCUGAUCUGCCUGAAAGAAGAAUGGAUGAAUAAAGUGAAAGUCCUCUUCAAGUUCACCAAAGUAGACAGCCGCCCCAAGGAAGAUACGCAGAAACUGCUGGGGAUUCUCGGAGCCGCCGAGGAAGACAAUGUGAAGCUACUCAAGUUCUGGAUGACGGGGCUCAGCAAGACCUACAAGUCUCACCUGAUGUCCAGCGUGCGAAGCCCGACUUCCUCGGAGUCCAGGAACUGAGGGUCCCGUUCCAAGAACCUUCAAGAGUUUUGAGGACCCCGUUCCAGGAAGCUUCAGUGGGUUGUGGUGCGACACAACCAGUCAGAGGGUUACAUGCACCACAAGUUUGCGAUUUUGGACAAGUCGGUGGUUAUCACGGGUUCCCUGAACUGGACCGUGCAGGCUGUCCACACCAACAAGGAAA
RNA transcript from Spea bombifrons (plains spadefoot toad), 1921 nucleotides. It is a transcript of the gene named folliculin, with no coding region annotated. NCBI's taxonomy places the organism in Eukaryota, Metazoa, Chordata, Amphibia, Anura, Pelobatidae. The record is from RefSeq and is a predicted model, not a curated record. The transcript has 12 exons.